ACAAGCAAGAACCCAGAAAACCUGGAAAGUAGGAGGAAGAAACUUUGCAACAAACAAGAAAAUUAGUUUUUCUUAUCGAAAAUGACGCAACAACCCUCAUUCAUUUCGGCUCAAAACACCGAUUCAAAGUUUAUUUACUAAGUUUUUAUUGUUGUUGCAUUUGGUGGACUUUCUUCCUCAGUUACCCGCUGGUUAAGAUCUGCUAGGUUCUUAGAGCUUGAGAAGUCGGGGCUGUUUCGCUGGUUGAUGCAGUUCGGCGGCUUCAAGGAGCGCCUUUUAGCCGACGACCCGUUCCUCUCCAUGGUCGGAAUCAAGUACUGCAUUGGAAUGUUCACCAUGAUUCCGUGCUUGUUUCUCUUCCUGCCCCUACUGUUUCUCUCCGACCACCACUUGCAACUAGUGCUGGAACAAUUGCCAAGUUCUUCCAUAACUGCCUUGAUAAUGCAUUCCAGGUUGCUCUUGCCGGAACCUCAUAUUCAUUUCUACAGAGAUUAGGGGUUGUGGUGGUGAGCAAAUGGCUUCCAUAUUUGCCUGCUUAAAUGGAUCCCCAAAAUUUGGGUUUGAAGUUAACAAUGAAAUCGCAUGUUUUUCAUUUUCUGGUUUUGUUUGUGUAACAUAAUGGGACAAAGCUUUUUGCAGUUGGCACAGCUUCAUCACUUGUUAGUAGUUUGCAAUCAACGUAUAUUUUUUUUCCUGGUUUGUUCUUGAGAUCAAGAUGUUGAGGAUUUUUGCAUAUAGUGGCAUAUGUAGUUAAGGCUUUAGACUUAGACAAGGUUGGUUGGGUUUAGGUGUAACCCAUGUCCAAACUCAAGGAAUGAAUGAUUACCCAUGAAAGGAUUGCCUGACCGUUCCUAUCUUGAUUUCUAAGUGUUGGACCUAACCUCAAGCUAUGGUAAGAUAAUUCAUUUAUUAUGACUCGCGGAGUAGUUAUCUUCAUAGUUUCAGUGUGCUUAGUCAUGUUUCCCCAUUGUAGUUUUGCUCUUAUGUUAUCUAUAGUCGCUAAAAUGAAAUGAUUUUCCAUCUGAGAUAUAACCCAAAGCUGCCCCCAAUCCUCAACUGAAAACUUGACCGACUGAGGUAUACUAAAAGAAAGGAUUAACUCUAGUUCUAGAAAUUUUCGAUAAGAUUCUACAUGAUCUCAAUAAAAUAGCCGGGGAAAUAAUGUAUAUGGAUUACUGAAGCAUGCACUUCCUUUUCAGAUUUGACUAAUAUUGAUCACUCUUUCUCUAACUUUUGUUGCAAAGGUUUUUUAUCAUCAUUUUUCUUAAGAAAAUGUUAUGCAAGUUGGAGCACCAUUAAUGCAAAAUGCUGGAAUUUAAUGUGUUUUGCUUAAUUAAAGUUGGGACAGCAGUUAUGAAUGCAUUAAUCAAUGCAAGGAAAGCUGUUGAUAAGUCUUCUCCGGUUGAAGUGGAAAACGUGCCCAUACUAUCCACAAGCGCUGCUUAUGCUGUCUAGCACUUACAAUGAAACCUUUCUAGUUUAUCCUGUGAAAAAAACAUGUCCUGCUUGAUUAGAGUGUCAACCAUUCUCAGUGUCGAGGAAAAUAAAUAAAAAGUUCAAC
Long non-coding RNA from Juglans regia (Persian walnut), 1561 nucleotides. RefSeq lists it as uncharacterized. The transcript is spliced from 4 exons. NCBI's taxonomy places the organism in Eukaryota, Viridiplantae, Streptophyta, Magnoliopsida, Fagales, Juglandaceae. The record is from RefSeq and is a predicted model, not a curated record.